AUAACAUCCGGAAACGGGUGCUAAUACCGCAUAGGUUUCUUGAUCGCAUGAUUGAGAAAGGAAAGACGGCCUUUGUGCUGUCGCUUAUGGAUGGACCCGCGGCGUAUUAGUUAGUUGGUGAGGUAAUGGCUCACCAAGACGAUGAUACGUAGCCGACCUGAGAGGGUGAUCGGCCACAUUGGGACUGAGACACGGCCCAAACUCCUACGGGAGGCAGCAGUAGGGAAUCUUCCGCAAUGGACGAAAGUCUGACGGAGCAACGCCGCGUGAGUGAAGAAAAGGUUUUCGGAUCGUAAAACUCUGUUGUCAGAGAAGAACAAGUUGGAGAGUAACUGCUCCAGCCUUGACGGUAUCUGACCAGAAAGCCACGGCUAACUACGUGCCAGCCGCGGC
This 393-nucleotide ribosomal RNA is filed under the name uncultured bacterium. RNAcentral's name for it is "bacterial SSU rRNA". It matches the Rfam family "Bacterial small subunit ribosomal RNA", at positions 143 to 518 of the family's 1533-position model. The record is from RNAcentral.